This 463-nucleotide ribosomal RNA is filed under the name uncultured bacterium. RNAcentral's name for it is "partial 16S ribosomal RNA". It matches the Rfam family "Bacterial small subunit ribosomal RNA", at positions 28 to 507 of the family's 1533-position model. The record is from RNAcentral.
GACGAACGCUGGCGGCGUGCUUAACACAUGCCAGUCGAACGGAAAGGCCUUUUCGGAGGUACUCGAGUGGCGAACGGGUGAGUAACACGUGGGUGAUCUGCCCUGCACUCUGGGAUAAGCCUGGGAAACUGGGUCUAAUACCGGAUAGGACCGCACUUUAGUGUGUGUGGUGGAAAGUUUUUUCGGUGUAGGAUGAGCCCGCGGCCUAUCAGCUUGUUGGUGGGGUAAUGGCCUACCAAGGCGGCGACGGGUAGCCGGACUGAGAGGUUGGUCGGCCACAUUGGGACUGAGAUACGGCCCAGACUCCUACGGGAGGCAGCAGUGGGGAAUAUUGCACAAGGGGCGCAAGCCUGAUGCAGCGACGCCGCGUGGGGGAUGACGGCCUUCGGGUUGUAAACUCCUUUCGCCAGGGACGAAGCGUUUUGUGACGGUACCUGGAGAAGAAGCACCGGCUAACUACGUG